CCUACGGGUGGCAGCAGUGAGGAAUAUUGGUCAAUGGACGAGAGUCUGAACCAGCCAAGUAGCGUGAAGGAUGACUGCCCUAUGGGUUGUAAACUUCUUUUAUAUGGGAAUAAAAUGUUCCACGUGUGGGAUUUUGUAUGUACCAUAUGAAUAAGGAUCGGCUAACUCCGUGCCAGCAGCCGCGGUAAUACGGAGGAUCCGAGCGUUAUCCGGAUUUAUUGGGUUUAAAGGGAGCGUAGGUGGAUUGUUAAGUCAGUUGUGAAAGUUUGCGGCUCAACCGUAAAAUUGCAGUUGAAACUGGCAGUCUUGAGUACAGUAGAGGUGGGCGGAAUUCGUGGUGUAGCGGUGAAAUGCUUAGAUAUCACGAAGAACUCCGAUUGCGAAGGCGGCCGCCUGGCCUGUUACUGACGCUGAGGCACGAAAGCGUGGGGAGCAAAUAGGAUUAGAUACCCGUGUAGUC
RNAcentral lists this ribosomal RNA (460 nucleotides) under uncultured bacterium. Its description in RNAcentral is "partial 16S ribosomal RNA". It matches the Rfam family "Bacterial small subunit ribosomal RNA", at positions 338 to 795 of the family's 1533-position model. The record is from RNAcentral.